Molecule: ribosomal RNA, 426 nt
Filed under: uncultured Pseudomonas sp.
Lineage: Bacteria; Pseudomonadati; Pseudomonadota; Gammaproteobacteria; Pseudomonadales; Pseudomonadaceae
Description: bacterial SSU rRNA
Rfam family: Bacterial small subunit ribosomal RNA
Source: RNAcentral
UGGAGCAUGUGGUUUAAUUCGAAGCAACGCGAAGAACCUUACCAGGUCUUGACAUCCCGCUGAUCGCUCUGGAGACAGAGCUUCCCUUCGGGGCAGCGGUGACAGGUGGUGCAUGGUUGUCGUCAGCUCGUGUCGUGAGAUGUUGGGUUAAGUCCCGCAACGAGCGCAACCCUUGUCCUUAGUUACCAGCACCUCGGGUGGGCACUCUAAGGAGACUGCCGGUGACAAACCGGAGGAAGGUGGGGAUGACGUCAAGUCAUCAUGGCCCUUACGGCCAGGGCUACACACGUGCUACAAUGGUCGGUACAAAGGGUUGCCAAGCCGCGAGGUGGAGCUAAUCCCAUAAAACCGAUCGUAGUCCGGAUCGCAGUCUGCAACUCGACUGCGUGAAGUCGGAAUCGCUAGUAAUCGUGAAUCAGAAUGUCA